This 492-nucleotide ribosomal RNA is filed under the name uncultured bacterium. RNAcentral's name for it is "partial 16S ribosomal RNA". It matches the Rfam family "Bacterial small subunit ribosomal RNA", at positions 29 to 507 of the family's 1533-position model. The record is from RNAcentral.
AGUGAACGCUGGCGGUAGGCCUAACGCAUGCAAGUCGAACGGCAGCACAGUAAGAGCUUGCUCUUACGGGUGGCGAGUGGCGGACGGGUGAGGAAUACAUCGGAAUCUACUUUUUCGUGGGGGAUAACGUAGGGAAACUUACGCUAAUACCGCAUACGACCUACGGGUGAAAGCAGGGGAUCUUCGGACCUUGCGCGAUUGAAUGAGCCGAUGUCGGAUUAGCUAGUUGGCGGGGUAAAGGUCCACCAAGGCGACGAUCCGUAGCUGGUCUGAGAGGAUGAUCAGCCACACUGGAACUGAGACACGGUCCAGACUCCUACGGGAGGCAGCAGUGGGGAAUAUUGGACAAUGGGCGCAAGCCUGAUCCAGCCAUACCGCGUGGGUGAAGAAGGCCUUCGGGUUGUAAAGCCCUUUUGUUGGGAAAGAAAAGCAGCAGGUUAAUACCCCGCUGUUCUGACGGUACCCAAAGAAUAAGCACCGGCUAACUUCGUG